UUCUUCUCCUUUCUUUUUCAGACAAGCCUCACAGCAGGACCAUCCUCAUGCCUCCUUUAACCUUGCAGUAGGAAAGCUGAAAAACACAACUGGGCCCAAGGAAGUCGGGUUAGGUGUUUGUCAAGAUACUGGGCUUAUUAAGAAGAAGAGGAGCAACAAUAAAAACUACCUUUGUGAACUAUACAUUUUUGCAGGAUAAACAGGUAAAAACCAUGUCCGUGAGCCAGGUAU
Molecule: long non-coding RNA, 231 nt
Filed under: Ictidomys tridecemlineatus (thirteen-lined ground squirrel)
Lineage: Eukaryota; Metazoa; Chordata; Mammalia; Rodentia; Sciuridae
Description: lncRNA (ENSSTOG00000032400.1)
Source: RNAcentral